CAUAACUAGUUUCCCCUCAAAAUAUUCUGAAACUCUGAAUCAUUUCCUGGGGGCGGCACUUUUCACUACGGCGUUACCCACGCAGGGAGCCGGAGGAGCCCCCGCCGGAGGAUGCCGCGGGCGGUGGGCUAAGCGCCCCCGCAUCCACAGUUUCUUUGGGCGCUGCCAGAGAACAGGGCUGGCUGAGGCUGGGACACAGGACAACCUGAAGGAGCCCCCUUCACUUCUCCCAAGCUGCUCAAGGCCAGUAGUCAUCUGCAGGACACCGCGAGGUGGUGGCCUCAGCCACAGUGGCGUUCCCAUGCCAAGGAAGGUCGUACCACGGUGUCGGUGUGAAUCUCCAGACAAUAACCAGCAUUCAGCAGCAAACAUACCUUUGACCUCGCUGCUCGGUUAUGGCCAGCCUGUGCUGAAAUUCAAGGACUUGGGACAGAAAGGAUAGCUCCUCGUUCCCCUCCCUUCACCUCCUCAUGUCCUGCUUCCAUAAAUUGACCAACGCCCCGGUCACAGCUGGGUUGUGCUGUCCUCCAGAGCAGGGGAGUGCUAUGGUUCUUGUUAGAGCGCUCCGCGUAUGUAAAGAGAUGUAAAUGCAGCUCAGGUCAUGAAGUCAGCCAGGGCAAGAAGGAUACA
Molecule: long non-coding RNA, 630 nt
Filed under: Calidris pugnax (ruff)
Lineage: Eukaryota; Metazoa; Chordata; Aves; Charadriiformes; Scolopacidae
Description: lncRNA (ENSCPUG00000003239.1)
Source: RNAcentral